AAUCUCGGAAGGUGAUUUUCUCACUGUAUCCUUUCAAAAGGCAAUUUGCAGAUGGUGCAGUUAACAAGGAAAUGCCUGGGAGAUAUCAAGAUGUCAUCUAUACAAAAUUUGGACUGGCAACCUUUCAAUAACUCAACAAGUGGCCAUACUUCAAAUGUGAGCACCUGGAUAUUUGAUAGUGUGAAUAGGAGCCUCAUGGCCAAAG
Long non-coding RNA from Rhincodon typus (whale shark), 205 nucleotides. RefSeq lists it as uncharacterized. Lineage: Eukaryota; Metazoa; Chordata; Chondrichthyes; Orectolobiformes; Rhincodontidae. The transcript is spliced from 3 exons. The record is from RefSeq and is a predicted model, not a curated record.